Molecule: non-coding RNA, 84 nt
Filed under: Streptomyces afghaniensis 772
Lineage: Bacteria; Bacillati; Actinomycetota; Actinomycetes; Kitasatosporales; Streptomycetaceae
Description: Bacterial small subunit ribosomal RNA
Rfam family: Bacterial small subunit ribosomal RNA
Source: Rfam by way of RNAcentral
UUCGCGGAGAGUUUGAUCCUGGCUCAGGACGAACGCUGGGGCGUGCUUAACACAUGCAAGUCGAACGAUGAACCACUUCGGUGG